UAUGCCCUUUACUUUCCAAGCAUUGUUCGAGCAUGGAGGUAAAAAACUCUCCUCUUUUAUCUCCUAUUAUGUUCAGUUCACAAGUAAUUUCUUUUUAUAUUUGAUUGAACAAUUCUGCUAUGAGAUACUACUUGUGCUUACAAAAAAAAUUUGCUCUUUGAAAAGAGGUAUGAGAGUUAAUUGAUUGCAGCUUGUCUCUACCUUUUCGGUAGCUUUGUAAUCAUGUCUUAGGCUUGAUAGUUGUUUUGAUAGAGCUUAAUUUUGUUGUCAUUUGUGUGUUGCUCUAACUAUGGGGUUGUUAGUGAUUGAGUCACUUUGGCAUUGUAAUCAUGUGUUUGUAUGGUUUGAAGUGUUGCAUUGUAACUAUUUGGUAUACCUUAUCUCUCUUUCAUUAAUAAAUUAUUCUUUGGCUUUUAAAAAAGAAUUUGUUCUGUUAUGAGUUCAUUUAUUUGAUCUUCUUAGAAAAGAAAUGCAUUAUGUUAUGUUUUAAAAUACCAAUCUUGUGGAAUUAUACCAUCAACUAAGUCAAAUUGUACAACUUAGUUCGUUUUUUUAAGUAUCCUAAUAUAUACUUAUGUUUUUCCAGGUAACCGAAUAAGAAGAGUCAAGCGAUGAUAGGCGUUUUGAGUCUAGCUAACACUAAUUAAGGAUUAUGAAGCAACAUCACAUAUUUUGUGAACUUAUUUUGACGUAAUGUUAUGUUUAACCACUAGUAAUAUUUAUGUUUUAGUUUUUGAAUCUUUGAACUACAUUAGUUUCUUUCGUUUGAAACUUCAAGUACUUUAAUUAAAUUUUUGAUGUAUGGAUCUUGUCGCUAUUGAAUGAAUUAAAU
Molecule: long non-coding RNA, 832 nt
Filed under: Trifolium pratense (red clover)
Lineage: Eukaryota; Viridiplantae; Streptophyta; Magnoliopsida; Fabales; Fabaceae
Description: long non-coding RNA (TPRA_LNC007797)
Source: RNAcentral